RNAcentral lists this long non-coding RNA (532 nucleotides) under Carassius auratus (goldfish). RNAcentral's name for it is "lncRNA (ENSCARG00000031521.1)". Lineage: Eukaryota; Metazoa; Chordata; Actinopteri; Cypriniformes; Cyprinidae. The record is from RNAcentral.
AAGUUUACAUCAGAAAGGCUGCCCUUCACUAAUUCUUCAUUGAGGACAUGAGAUGCAUUAAUGAAUCGAGAACAGAGCACCAGAACUUAAACAGGAAAUAUCAGUGUAUGGCUUCAUCUUUCUAAUCCCUCACUUGUAAGGAGAAGUGCUUGGGACCACAUGUCCCUGUGACACCAUCAGCCAGGCAACGUUGUCAUGACAUAAUUUCCCAUUGGUUCUAAAGUGGUUGUUCUAAGGUGUCAUGGCAUUUACGGCUCAGCCUUUGACCUGGAAAUUGAAUGAAGUUUGCCACCUUGAAGGACAUAUACAUUUUCUGAACUCACUGAAGACUCGAGGACUGCAGGGAGAGGACUCCAAAAGAGCUAAGAGCAUCACACCUGGACCUUCCACUUACUGUUUAUGUUACCAAAAGCAUGAUCUUCUAAUUGCAACCAAGGCUCAUUGGAAAACAGGUGCCUGUACUUAUACAGUUUUGCAAAAUUCCAAAAACACACCUACACAUAAGAUUCACUGCAGUUUCCAGCUGAAAUGA